GACGAACGCUGGCGGCGUGCUUAACACAUGCAAGUCGAACGGUGAAGCAGAGCUUGCUCUGUGGAUCAGUGGCGAACGGGUGAGUAACACGUGAGUAACCUGCCCUUGACUCUGGGAUAAGCGUUGGAAACGACGUCUAAUACCGGAUACGAGCUGAGACCGCAUGGUCAUCAGUUGGAAAGAUUUUUUGGUCAAGGAUGGACUCGCGGCCUAUCAGCUUGUUGGUGAGGUAAUGGCUCACCAAGGCGACGACGGGUAGCCGGCCUGAGAGGGUGACCGGCCACACUGGGACUGAGACACGGCCCAGACUCCUACGGGAGGCAGCAGUGGGGAAUAUUGCACAAUGGGCGCAAGCCUGAUGCAGCAACGCCGCGUGAGGGAUGACGGCCUUCGGGUGGUAAACCUCUUUUAGUAGGGAAGAAGCGAAAGUGACGGUACCUGCAGAAAAAGCACCGGCUAACUACGU
RNAcentral lists this ribosomal RNA (466 nucleotides) under uncultured bacterium. RNAcentral's name for it is "partial 16S ribosomal RNA". It matches the Rfam family "Bacterial small subunit ribosomal RNA", at positions 28 to 506 of the family's 1533-position model. The record is from RNAcentral.